AGUGAACGCUGGCGGUAGGCCUAACACAUGCAGGUCGAACGGCAGCACAGUAAGAGCUUGCUCUUACGGGUGGCGAGUGGCGGACGGGUGAGGAAUACAUCGGAAUCUACUUUUUCGUGGGGGAUAACGUAGGGAAACUUACGCUAAUACCGCAUACGACCUACGGGUGAAAGCAGGGGAUCUUCGGACCUUGCGCGAUUGAAUGAGCCGAUGUCGGAUUAGCUAGUUGGCGGGGUAAAGGCCCACCAAGGCGACGAUCCGUAGCUGGUCUGAGAGGAUGAUCAGCCACACUGGAACUGAGACACGGUCCAGACUCCUACGGGAGGCAGCAGUGGGGAAUAUUGGACAAUGGGCGCAAGCCUGAUCCAGCCAUACCGCGUGGGUGAAGAAGGCCUUCGGGUUGUAAAGCCCUUUUGUUGGGAAAGAAAAGCAGCAGGUUAAUACCCCGCUGUUUUGACGGUACCCAAAGAAUAAGCACCGGCUAACUUCGUG
RNAcentral lists this ribosomal RNA (492 nucleotides) under uncultured bacterium. RNAcentral's name for it is "partial 16S ribosomal RNA". It matches the Rfam family "Bacterial small subunit ribosomal RNA", at positions 29 to 507 of the family's 1533-position model. The record is from RNAcentral.